UGCCAGCAGCCGCGGUAAGACGAACUGCGCAAACGUUAUUCGGAAUCACUGGGCUUAAAGAGUGCGUAGGCGGUCUGGCAAGUGGGGUGUGAAAUCCCUCGGCUCAACCGAGGAACUGCGCUCCAAACUGCCAGACUUGAGGGAGAUAGAGGUGAGCGGAACUGAUGGUGGAGCGGUGAAAUGCAUUGAUAUCAUCAGGAACACCAGUGGCGAAGGCGGCUCACUGGGUCUCUUCUGACGCUGAGGCACGAAAGCUAGGGGAGCGAACGGGAUUAGAUA
This 279-nucleotide ribosomal RNA is filed under the name uncultured bacterium. RNAcentral describes it as "partial 16S ribosomal RNA". It matches the Rfam family "Bacterial small subunit ribosomal RNA", at positions 506 to 784 of the family's 1533-position model. The record is from RNAcentral.